RNAcentral lists this long non-coding RNA (894 nucleotides) under Chinchilla lanigera (long-tailed chinchilla). Its description in RNAcentral is "lncRNA (ENSCLAG00000027225.1)". Lineage: Eukaryota; Metazoa; Chordata; Mammalia; Rodentia; Chinchillidae. The record is from RNAcentral.
GUCAGGAUGAGGUAGGAAGCUGGGUGGAGAAACACAGGCUGGGAGGAAAAAGUCCGAAAUCUCAAAUGGAGACAGCAGUAAAAAGUAAUGACUAACACAUUUCCCAACUUGGAAAGCCAGCCACAGCCCACACCAGGGCCAAACUUGGAGCUCUGCUGUUCCAGGGAGGUUGGAGCAGGCUCAUGGACAGGAAAGGAUUGUGCGAGCGACCGCCGCUUGCUGGCUUAGGAACUGUGCUCUCUGAAAAGUGAAAUGGACCCUGAAAGAGAAAGGAAAGGAUGGUUCUGCCUAAAUUCUCCACAGAGAUGAAGGUCUUCUAUGUCUACAAUAUAUUCAUCCACUUACAACCGCUCAAUAGCAAAAAAAAAAAAAAAAAAAAAACCAAAAACCAACAUCAAAGGAAAAGGAACCCUUUUAGGAAAAUUUGAUCCACAUCGCAGUCCUUUGGAGGUUGACAUCCACCGUGGCCUGCUUGCCUGUUCCUUCCAGCUUGAAUUCCUAGGAGCUGAGCUCUUCUUUGCACAAGAGUGGCUGCUAAACCAGUAGGAAAAGAAUGCGACAGUCCACCUCAAGGCGCUGUGCUGAUUGGACCAUGGGCCUACACAACUGGGUAAAAAUACAAUCAGCUGUUCAGAAAGGUCUACCCUGGAACGCCUCAUAAAGGACUUUCUUUUCUUUGGUCUUCUUUUGGAACAGUUUCUCUUGUCAAGCUAGCUCCAGGCAGAAGCAGCUCCAGGCAAACUGGGACAGACCGUUCUAUGACAUUUCCCACCUCUUCCACCUGGGGUCUUUCUUCCUGGCCUCAACCACCUCCAGCCUCCUCCACUUCCCCUACUGUAUCCUUGCCAUGGGCAAGGGUGUUGUACACAUUUUCAAGGGAAGGAGACAGUGGGA